This 429-nucleotide ribosomal RNA is filed under the name uncultured bacterium. Its description in RNAcentral is "bacterial SSU rRNA". It matches the Rfam family "Bacterial small subunit ribosomal RNA", at positions 355 to 776 of the family's 1533-position model. The record is from RNAcentral.
UGAGGAAUCUUGCGCAAUGGGCGAAAGCCUGACGCAGCGACGCCGCGUGGAGGAUGACGGUUUUCGGAUUGUAAACUCCUGUUAAGCGGGAAGAAAGACCUAUCUCUAAUACAGAUAGGGCAUGACGGUACCGCUAGAGAAAGCACCGGCUAACUUCGUGCCAGCAGCCGCGGUAAUACGAGGGGUGCAAGCGUUAUUCGGAUUAAUUGGGCGUAGAGGGUGUGCAGACGGUUUGUUAAGUCGCUUGUUAAAUUCUUUGGCCUAACUGAAGAUCUGCAGGUGAUACUGACGAACUAGAGGGUGGAAGAGAGAAGUGGAAUUCUCGGAGUAGCGGUAAAAUGCGUAGAUCUCGAGAGGAACACCAAUGGCGAAGGCAGCUUCUUGGUCCAUUCCUGACGUUCAUACACGAAAGCGUGGGGAGCAAACAGG